Molecule: non-coding RNA, 86 nt
Organism: Thermoanaerobacterium saccharolyticum JW/SL-YS485
Lineage: Bacteria; Bacillati; Bacillota; Clostridia; Thermoanaerobacterales; Thermoanaerobacteraceae
Source: Rfam
AUGAUGGUAUCCAUAGUGGAACCAUACAUGAUGUUAAAAUUUCAAAAGUUUAUGCCUCGCCAGGAUCAUAUGACCGGGACGGGAGA